GUUGGUUGCACUAAGAGAAGAUGGAAGGAGAGACUUGAAGUUUUACCGUAUUCCGAGGGAUCCAAAGAGGAGAGUGAAAUGGACGGCUGCAAUUCGACGUGAAAACUGGGCACCAAAAAAUCACCACAGACUAUGUAGUAGUCAUUUUAUAUCCAGUAAGAUGCAUUUAAGAUAUACUUAGAGGGUUUUGGGCUGACAAAUAACCACAAUUAAGAUCAUUGCUAGGCUAAUCGCGGACAACAUACACGUAUGUAUGUAGUGAGAGUGCUAUCGCUAAACCAUAUAAACAUUAAAAGCCUUAACUCCAUUGACAAACGACAUGAAAUACAUUAGACUUGACAGUGGAUGUUAGCAAUAACAAAAGAUUUUGAAUUGAAAAUUUCGUAACUCACCUUUCCAAGCACAAGAUAGAUUCCUGCCAAAUUUUCAUGGACGAGGACCUGUUUCACCCAACCAGCAACGAAGUAUUUAUAAGCCUCCAAGCUCUUGAAGUUUUUCAAAUUUUCGUGAGAAUAGGCUGAUUUUGUGUGGACAAGAUAAUUGUAAAUAUCAGCGUAGCAGAUGUCAGGCAGACAGGGCGAAGACAGUGGGUCGAAAAACAUCGAUUUGGGCAUCAAAUAUGGAUCUGGGGACUGUAUAGAACGAAGCUUUUCCACAUAACGCCUUUUAUGCAACACAUCCAGUGAGUUUACGGCAUCAGAAAGCACCGGGUCUUCCAUGAAAUGCAUUUUAAAUUCCUCGAUCAAUUGAAACCAAUGCUAAUACAGAGAGAAAAUGACGGACAAGUGGGCGGAACCAUACAGCGAGCACGUGGUUUUGUGACGUCGGUGGGUAGGGUCUAUAGCCACAAGCAGCUGGAGAGAGAAGACCAUGCUAAACAGAGUGACGAGCUCAACAGGGACAUCGGCAGAACACUUGAGAAGUGAUCAGGAGCGUGGAAAACGCGUCUAUUGAGCUUAAACUGUCUCGGUAAGCAAGCGUUCUACUCGGAGCAGACGAGCUAACGGCUAAUGCUAACGAUGCAGACGAGCUAACGGUCAGGUCUUUUUGUGAGACUGGACUAAAGAUAAGAAGGUUCCGGAAAUUUGAUGGCGAGCUUCCCAGCGUGAAAAGACCAAGAAACUUCAUCCUUCAGGGACAACGCUUCAGUGUGGUAGGACAAUACCAACUGACAGGAUUCCAUACAAACUUUGGAGAAAGAAAUACCUUACACAGGAUUAAGGAAAAAAAGUGAUCACUAGAGUGAAAGACAAUUUUGUUUAUUAUUUUUGGGCCCAAAUUUUAUUUUCUUAUAUUGUUCUAUUGUUCUGUAUUGCAUUGUUGUUAAUG
Corythoichthys intestinalis (scribbled pipefish) is the source of this 1329-nucleotide long non-coding RNA. RefSeq lists it as uncharacterized. The transcript has 3 exons. The record is from RefSeq and is a predicted model, not a curated record. NCBI's taxonomy places the organism in Eukaryota, Metazoa, Chordata, Actinopteri, Syngnathiformes, Syngnathidae.